This 370-nucleotide ribosomal RNA is filed under the name uncultured eukaryote. RNAcentral describes it as "partial 18S ribosomal RNA". It matches the Rfam family "Eukaryotic small subunit ribosomal RNA", at positions 592 to 976 of the family's 1831-position model. The record is from RNAcentral.
CAAUAGCGUAUAUUAAAGUUGUUGCAGUUAAAAAGCUCGUAGUUGGACCUUGGACCUGGACAGGCGGUCCGCCUCGCGGCGUGUACUGUCUUGCUGGGUCUUUCCUCUUGGUGAUCUGUUGUUUCGGCAGCAGGGAACCAGGACUUUUACUUUGAAAAAAUUAGAGUGUUCAAAGCAGGCUCGACGCCGGAAUAUAUUAGCAUGGAAUAAUAAAAUAGGACGUGCGGUUCUAUUUUGUUGGUUUUUGGAAUCGCCGUAAUGAUUAAUAGGGACAGUCGGGGGCAUUAGUACUCACAUGCUAGAGGUGAAAUUCUUGGAUUUUGUGAAGACUAACUUCUGCGAAAGCAUUUGCCAAGGAUGUUUUCAUUAA